UUUGAAUACUCUUGACUGUUUUGUAAAAUCGAGUUACGUCUGUGAUUGAAGGAUUAAAAGGAUGUCUAUAGGAUUGAGUAUGCGGAGUGAAUGAAAUUUAUUUGGUUAAUCUAACAAGACAGUCAGUGGAUACAAGAUCGUAAGUACAAAGUGGUAUUGAAGAUUAACAGUUUGGAUUGUUCGGGGUUCUCUGUAACGUCUAGAGACCUAUCGGCUGGGGCAAAAAAAAAGACUUCGACAAGCAGUCGAAGAGCAUCCAUAUA
RNAcentral lists this long non-coding RNA (263 nucleotides) under Physcomitrium patens. Its description in RNAcentral is "long non-coding RNA (PPAT_LNC009250)". Lineage: Eukaryota; Viridiplantae; Streptophyta; Bryopsida; Funariales; Funariaceae. The record is from RNAcentral.